This is a long non-coding RNA of Gallus gallus (chicken), 436 nucleotides long. Lineage: Eukaryota; Metazoa; Chordata; Aves; Galliformes; Phasianidae. The record is from Ensembl.
GGGGAGCCGCGGCGGGCAGUGCCGCUCGACGCUGCGGCCGGGCCGGGGUUGGGCCUGCUGGACCUCUUGUGCCCUGUAAUGGAAGAAAAGUUUGAAAAUGUCAGAGCACGCUGCUUCCCAGCCCGCCGGCGUUUGUUUGGCACCGCCGUUUUCUCCGCUUUGAACUACUGCUAUGAUCUACAGAGAGAUCUGAGAACUCGUACCAGCAGUCCUUUGAGAUCAAAUCCUGCAUUGAUUUCAAAAUGCAACAGCGAGAGCACUUGAACUUCAGUCCUGUUUUUGCACACCACAGAAAAACAUCAUAGAUGACAAUCAAAGACUCAUAGAAUAUUCUGAGUUGAAAGGUACUCCCAGGGAUCACAGAAUCACAGAAUCAUGGCAUCAUAGAAUCUUUAGAGUUGUAAGGGGGCCUUAAAGGUCAUCUAGUCCAACUCAC